UACUGCUCAGUAACACGUGGACAAUCUGCCCUGAAGAAGAGAAUAAUCCCGGGAAACUGGGGGUAAUGCUCUAUAGUCCGGGAGGACUGGAAUGUCCUCCGGAUGAAAGAUCCGUCGCUUCAGGAUGAGUCUGCGGCCGAUUAGGUAGUUGUUGGGGUAAAAGCCCAACAAGCCUGUAAUCGGUACGGGUUGUGGGAGCAAGAGCCCGGAGAUGGAUUCUGAGACACGAAUCCAGGCCCUACGGGGCGCAGCAGGCGCGAAAACUUUACAAUGCGGGCAACCGUGAUAAGGAAACCCCGAGUGCCACCACAGGGUGGCUGUCCACCAGUGUAAACAACUGGUGAAGAAAGGGCCGGGCAAGACCGGUGCCAGCCGCCGCGGUAAUACCGGCGGCUCGAGUGGUGGCCGCUUUUACUGGGCUUAAAGGGUCCGUAGCUGGAUCUGUGUGUCCCUUGAGAAAUCCAUCGGCUUAACUGAUGGGCGUUCAGGGGAAACUGCAGUUCUAGGGACCGGGAGAGGUGAGAGGUACUGCCGGGGUAGGAGUGAAAUCCUGUAAUCCCGGUGGGACGACCUAUGGCGAAGGCAUCUCACCAGAACGGCUCCGACAGUGAGGGACGAAAGCUGGGGGAGCAAACCGGAUUAGAUACCCGGGUAGUCCCAGCUGUAAACGAUGCGCAUUAGGUGUGUCAGUGACCACGUGUCACUGAGGUGCCGAAGGGAAACCGUGAAAUGCGCCGCCUGGGGAGUACGGUCGCAAGGCUGAAACUUAAAGGAAUUGGCGGGGGAGCACA
RNAcentral lists this ribosomal RNA (791 nucleotides) under uncultured Methanospirillum sp. Its description in RNAcentral is "bacterial SSU rRNA". It matches the Rfam family "Archaeal small subunit ribosomal RNA", at positions 84 to 880 of the family's 1478-position model. Lineage: Archaea; Methanobacteriati; Methanobacteriota; Methanomicrobia; Methanomicrobiales; Methanospirillaceae. The record is from RNAcentral.